This 635-nucleotide long non-coding RNA is filed under the name Populus tremula. Its description in RNAcentral is "long non-coding RNA (PTRE_LNC003063)". The record is from RNAcentral. Lineage: Eukaryota; Viridiplantae; Streptophyta; Magnoliopsida; Malpighiales; Salicaceae.
UUUGUUUUUCCUUCUCGCGGCUGCUCACCCAAGCAGAGCCCCAUCUUCUUCUUUCUUUUCCCACAGCCGGUUCUCUCUCAGCCCCCAAUCAAUCUCAUUUUGCCCUUACAAAUCAACCUCACAGCCUCUCUCUUGGCUCCUCUGCCCUCAUUUCCUUCUUCCUCCCCUCUCAGCCGUUUCUUUCUCAACAGCCCCUCACCUCUCUCUCGGCCACAAACAAAACCGAACCGUCCCCCACCAGCCUGCCAUUUUUUCUUCUCAUCUUCCACAGCCACAGCCACAGCCACAGCCACAGCCAAUCAGCCUCCACACACGCACAUUUCCUUCCCCUUUUUCCGAUCUCCCCGUCAUCUCCCCCCGAAGCCAUUUCUCCUUCUCUCAGCCUCCACCGUAACCCACAACUGACCCCCACCUUAUUAUUAUUAUUUUUUCUUUCUUUCUUCUCCCCACACGGCGGCGCCCCCCGAUCCAGCGUUGUUUCCAACCGAAGCCGACGAUCAGCCAACACUUUUUCCUCCUCCAGCUCCGCCGGCCAGACACGACAGGAGCACAAUCGCCAACAGCUUUCCAGUCACCAGCAGCCGCUGAACCCAGAAGAAGAAAGGAGAAACGGGGCAGAUCAAGAAAAGAAAAAA